GCCUGUGCAAUAGGGUUAGCGUUAAGGCUAGGUAGAGGGGUUCAGGCAGAGGUCGAGGUGAGACGGGUCUGCCUGUGCAAUAGGGUUAGCGUUAAGGCUAGGUAGAGGGGUUCCGGAAGAGGUCAGAGGUCGAGGUGAGACGGGUCUGCCUGUGCAAUAGGGUUAGCGUUAAGGCUAGGAAGAGGUCAGAGGUCGAGGUGAGACGGGUCUGCCUGUGCAAUAGGGUUAGCGUUAAGGCUAGGUAGAGGGGUUCAGGAAGAGGUCAGAGGUCGAGGUGAG
Long non-coding RNA from Oncorhynchus keta (chum salmon), 279 nucleotides. RefSeq lists it as uncharacterized. The record is from RefSeq and is a predicted model, not a curated record. The transcript is spliced from 3 exons. NCBI's taxonomy places the organism in Eukaryota, Metazoa, Chordata, Actinopteri, Salmoniformes, Salmonidae.